CGUGUAGGCGGGAAUGUAAGUCAGAUGUGAAAUGCCGAGGCUUAACUUCGGAGCUGCAUCUGAAACUGCGUUUCUUGAGUGUCGGAGAGGAAAGUGGAAUUCCCAGUGUAGCGGUGAAAUGCGUAGAUAUUGGGAGGAACACCAGUGGCGAAGGCGACUUUCUGGACGAUAACUGGCGCUGAGGCGCGAAAGCGUGGGGAGCAAACAGGAUUAGAUACCCUGGUAGUCCACGCCGUAAACGAUGGAUACUAGGUGUAGGAGGUAUCGACCCCUUCUGUGCCGGAGUUAACACAAUAAGUAUCCCACCUGGGGAGUACGGCCGCAAGGUUGAA
Molecule: ribosomal RNA, 332 nt
Filed under: uncultured bacterium
Lineage: Bacteria
Description: bacterial SSU rRNA
Rfam family: Bacterial small subunit ribosomal RNA
Source: RNAcentral